Molecule: ribosomal RNA, 1269 nt
Filed under: Azadinium spinosum
Lineage: Eukaryota; Dinophyceae; Gonyaulacales; Amphidomataceae
Description: partial Bacterial large subunit ribosomal RNA
Rfam family: Bacterial large subunit ribosomal RNA
Source: RNAcentral
GAACCAGUACCGUGAGGGAAAGGUGAAAAGUACCCUGAAUAAGGGGGUGAAAUAGAACCUGAAACCGCACGCCUACAAGCGGUCGGAGCAACUUUGUGUUGUGACGGCGUGCCUUUUGCAUAAUGAGCCUACGAGUUACUCUUCCCUAGCGAGGUUAAGGCACUCAGUGCUGCAGCCGGAGCGAAAGCGAGUCUGAAUAGGGCGCAUAGUUAGUGGAGGUAGACGCGAAACCCGGUGAUCUACCCAUGACCAGGAUGAAGUUCAGGUAACACUGAAUGGAGGUCCGAACCAGUUGACGUUGAAAAGUCUUUGGAUGAGUUGUGGGUAGGGGUGAAAGGCCAAUCAAACCGGGAAAUAGCUCGUACUCCCCGAAAUGCUUUUAGGAGCAGCGUGGAGGUUAAGUCUAACGGAGGUAGAGCUACCAAUAGGACUAGGGGGAGUCAAAUCCUACCAAAUCCUGAUGAACUCCGAAUGCCGUAAUAUAUACUCUGCAGUGAGGGCUAGGGUGCUAAGGUCCUAGUCCGAGAGGGAAAGAACCCAGAUCUGCAGCUAAGGUCCCAAAGUAUAUGCUAAGUUGAACUAAGGCGGUUCAGUUGCUGAGACAGCAAGGAGGUUAGCUUGGAAGCAGCUAUUCCUUUAAAGAGUGCGUAACAGCUCACUGGUCGAGCGACAGGGCAUCGAUAAUAAUCGGGCAUCAAACAUAUCACCGAAGCUUAGAAUUGUAAUUUAUUACACUGGUAGGGGAGCAUUCUAUUCUGCGUUGAAUGGAUAUCGUGAGGUAUCCUGGAGCGUAUAGAAAAGCAAAUGUAGGCAUAAGUAACGAUAAAGCGGGCGAGAAACCCGCUCACCGAUAGACUAAGGUUUCCACGGCAAUGCUAAUCAGCCGUGGGUUAGUCAGGACCUAAGGCGAACCCGAAAGGGGUAGUCGAUGGACAACAGGUCAAUAUUCCUGUACUAGCAAUAAUUGCGAUGGGGUGACGGAGUAGUGAAAGCGCUGCGUGCUGACGGAAUAGCACGUUGAAGGGUGUAGGUAUUGGACCGGUAGGUAAAUCCGCCGGACUAGCUGAACCUGAUAGUACCUUGAUCCUUCGGGAGACGGGAUAAUGCGCCUAAACAGACUUCCAAGAAAAACCUCUAAACUUAUGGAUAUGGCACCCGUACCGUAAACCGACACAGGUAGUCAAGGAGAGAAUCCUGAGGUGCUCGAGUGAUUCAUGGCUAAGGAACUAGGCAAAAUGGCCCUGUAACUUCGGGAGAAGGGGCCCCUGA